Molecule: ribosomal RNA, 468 nt
Filed under: uncultured bacterium
Lineage: Bacteria
Description: partial 16S ribosomal RNA
Rfam family: Bacterial small subunit ribosomal RNA
Source: RNAcentral
GACGAACGCUGGCGGCGUGCUUAACACAUGCAAGUCGAACGGAAAGGCCCUGCUUUUGUGGGGUGCUCGAGUGGCGAACGGGUGAGUAACACGUGAGUAACCUGCCCUUGACUUUGGGAUAACUUCAGGAAACUGGGGCUAAUACCGGAUAGGAGCUCCUGCUGCAUGGUGGGGGUUGGAAAGUUUCGGCGGUUGGGGAUGGACUCGCGGCAUAUCAGCUUGUUGGUGGGGUAGUGGCUUACCAAGGCUUUGACGGGUAGCCGGCCUGAGCGGGUGACCGGCCACAUUGGGACUGAGAUACGGCCCAGACUCCUACGGGAGGCAGCAGUGGGGAAUAUUGCACAAUGGGCGGAAGCCUGAUGCAGCAACGCCGCGUGCGGGAUGACGGCCUUCGGGUUGUAAACCGCUUUCGCCUGUGACGAAGCGUGAGUGACGGUAAUGGGUAAAGAAGCACCGGCUAACUACGUG